GGAGGAUGAGGAAUCUUACCCUGAAGAUGAGGAAGAUGGAAGAUGAUCAGAUAUCAAGGGUUCUGGCUAAACUGACUUAGCAAGCUUCUUGCUAAAACUAGAUUUCACAAGGAAGUGCACAGCUAGAUCAAGAAGUGGCAUGAGGAACCUGGGUCAUGCAAGAAUUUUUGUCCCUUCCAGAGACAGAGGGCACUGAAAUAGAUACACUUCUCCCUGAGACAGAGAAAGGUUGGGAUUUUGCUUGCGCUGUUGCCCAGCCUGGUUUGCAGUGGCGCAAUCAUGGCUCAUUGCAGCCUUGAUCUCCUGGGCUGAAAUGAUUCUUCCGCCUCAACCUCCCAAGUCUUUGGGAUUAUAGAUGUGACUACUGCACCUGACUAAAAAUUGGUCUCUUUAUUACAUUUUUCCUUUUUUUUUAAAAAAAAGAAUGAUGGUCUCUUUUUAAUUGGUAUAAUGAAUACAAUCCACUGGCCAAAGAAGAAAGAAAUAAAAGCAUGUGGAU
This 499-nucleotide long non-coding RNA is filed under the name Homo sapiens (human). RNAcentral's name for it is "HSALNT0206143". Lineage: Eukaryota; Metazoa; Chordata; Mammalia; Primates; Hominidae. The record is from RNAcentral.